Non-coding RNA from Castor canadensis (American beaver), 4849 nucleotides. Lineage: Eukaryota; Metazoa; Chordata; Mammalia; Rodentia; Castoridae. The record is from RefSeq and is a predicted model, not a curated record.
GGGAAAUAGUUUGUGAUUAGUAGAGUAUUUUCAUGUGCUAUCUAAUUUAAUUAUUUUUCUCUUUUAACAGAAUGAUACAACAGAUCUUUGCAGGAUUCUUCGCAAAUUUCUGCUAAUUCCUGGAUCCUCAACAUCCUUUUUCUUGGAGCGGAAUGCUGCACUCCAACCCUGGGGACUAUGCCUGGGGUCAGACAGGGCUUGAUGCCAUUGUAACCCAGGUGAGGAGACAAACUGAAAACACAAGGGCUCCACCAGCCGACAAGGAAAAGAUCAGAAAAAAACAUCUCUUCCAACAGUGACAGUAACUCAGGAACAAGUGGUAAAUACAGGUUUAGAAUGUCCAGUAUGCAAAGAAGAUUAUGCAGUUGGAGAGGAAGUCAGGCAGUUACCCUGCAAUCACUUCUUUCACAGCAGUUGUAUUGUGCCAUGGUUAGAACUGCAUGACACAUGUCCAGUUUGUAGGAAGAGCUUAAGUGGUGAGGAUUCUACUCGGCAAACCCAGAACUCUGAGGCUUCUGCAAGCAACAGAUUUAGCAGUGACAGCCAGCUACAUGAUCGAUGGACUUUCUGAAACUAAAGACCAUACCUGAACCAGGGCUGUUUGUGGUAGUCUUCUUAUCAUAGCUGUAAAUUAUAGUAAAACAAAAAAAGUAGUAGAUGGAUUUAGGAAUCAUACAAGAAACCCAAACCCAUAAUAUUAAUGCAGUGAGUGUUUUUCUUCUUUAAACUUAGUAUCUACAGAUGGACUUGUAUCUCUAACCAAAUGCCUCGUGUUCUUGAAUUCAGAGUGAUAAUUUUUUAAGUGUGAAACUUAAUUAUGUCAGUUUGUUCCUGCCUGAAUAGAAUCUGUUCCUUAAAGUCUAGCUAGAUUCCUGCUAUCUGUCAUGUUGCCUUGUAAUUGAUGUCUCCACUUCCUCUUCCAACCUUUAUCCUAUAUUUAGUGUAUUUUACAGUAAAUACAGAAGAACCAGAGCCCUAAAGUUCAGCUAAUAUAAAUUUCUUUUGUCUUAAUUGUACAAAAACACAUCUACUCUUGACCACAUUUGCAAUGAAAUGAGUUAAGAUUAAUUCAGGAAUCUGAGACUACUAAUUUUGUUUUGUCUUGACCCUCAGAGAGCAAAUCAAAGAAUUAUAGUGGGAAGAAAAAAGUGGCCUAUCACCAUAUGUUUUGGUUUUCUCAUUUUAAUUUUCAAAGACUAUUUCAGGAGGUGCAGUUUCUCUAGAAACCAACAUGGCAUGUCUUGGGAGUCUUAUAUUGAUAGGAAUAUGAUUCUGGUUCCUUUUUGGGAAUGAGUUGGGCAGCAUGUAGAUACAGAAAGAUGUUUGAAAUCUUCAGUUCUGAUAUUUUUUUUAAUGACCCCAACUCACUGUUUACUUUCUUUUAUAUGAGGGACCUUACAAUAAUUUCUCACAUAGAAAUAGGAUUAUUUAUAACUGCUUCUACAGACAGUUCAAUGUAUUUGGUAAUUCAUUGCUCUUUAGGAAUUGAGAUUUUUGUAUGUCUUAUUUUAAUUUUUUUAAAAAACUUUCAUCUCUCAAACUUUUUCCUGUUCUUCUUGGUUCUGGCUAUACUUGGAAUCAAGCUGCUUAAUGUGAUUAUGCCCAAAACAACUUGAUCUGGGAAAGAUAGGCCUUACUUUUUAAGUCUAACAGUGUCCAUUUACAUUCUCUUUAAAUGCUUAAAGUUGAAUAAAUAAAGGAUGUCAAUAAUGUUGUUGGAACUUCAAAGUCUCAAGGACAUAAAGGGAUGUAUAUAUGUGAAUAUGUGUUGGUAUACCAAAAAGGGUAUUUAAGGUGCAUAAGUGGCAACAUUUGCAGUAUCACAUCAGCCUUUCAUACUUUAGAAUGAUCAGAGUAAGAUCUCCACUAUUUUAGUGAGUCUCUGUCUUGAUUUUUGUUUGACUGUCACGUACUGACUUGGGGGUAAGGGAAUAGGGGGGCAUUAAAGAUAAAUUUGUACUUUAGUAGAAGGAGGAGGAGUUGGGGAGGGAAGAGAUAAAGUAGAGAGUAGCCUGCUGAAUUUACAGGUGACCAAAAAGGAUAUGUCAGGUAGCCCAGAGGGAAUAAAAUUUUUCUUAUAUACCUUUCCUGUUACACCUCUGUAAUGAUAUUUUUCUUUGAGAAAAGUGAUCGUUUUAACUGUAAUUAGUGUAUAAAAUGUAGCUUGAGAAUACACAUUAGUUUUGGAUGGGAGGGGGUGAGGAGAAUGGGGGGGGAGGCAAGAGUUAUAUUAGAAAUAUUUGGAGGAAGACUGUGUUGAAAUUGGAGCACAUUACAGUUUUCAAUUAGAACUUGAAUCAGCUGUCUCAGAAAAAUUAUGGUAACUUGGGAACUUUUGUCUACCUGUUGGUUUCUAGAUGAUGCCAGGACAUUUAGUUAAAUUUUUAGUUAAAACUGGAGAACUAGUUCUGAGUAGUUUUACAAAGUAAAUUAGACAGGAAUACUUUGUAAACAAAGUACUAGACAGGAAUCUGCCUGUUGAUGCAUAAUAAAUAGCAUCAGACUAGGUUAUCUUAAAUUUUCUUUACUCUUUUUUUUUUCUGUAGUAAAGGACAUAAGACUCAUUUUGCUAUUUCCCAAACUUGUCCCACUUAAUGAAUUUGUAAUUUUUUACUGUCUGUUCUUGUAAUAGGAGGCAUCUCAGACUUCUAGAUUAGUGUAUGUUAAGGAGUUAGGGUUUUUCAGGUAAACAGAACUGAUAGGAUAUAUAUGUAGAUAUAGAAAGAGAUUUAUUAUAAGGAAUUGUCUUAUGCAGUUAUGAAGGCUGAGAACUCUCAAGAUGCUCUGUGGGCCAGCUGGAAACCCAGGAGAACAGUUGGUGUAGUUCCAGUCCAAGUCUGAAGGCUUGAACACCAGGAGAUAUAAUGGUAUAAAUUACAGUCUGAAAGUCAGUAGACUUGAGAUUCAAAGAAAGCUGAAGUUUCAGUCCCAGUCCAAAAGGCAGGAAAGGCAGAUGUCAGGAAGGAAGAGUAGCUCUUAUUUGAGGGAGGCCAGUCUUUUGUCCUAUUCAGGCCUUCCACUGAUUAGAUGAACUUCUCCCUUCCUCCCCCCAAUUAGGGAUAAUGCUCAGUGUCAACUUGCUGAUUCAAAUGUUUAUCUCAUCCAAAAAUGCCUUCAGACACACCCAGAAUAAUGUUUGAUAUCCUAUGGCCUAGUCAAGUUAACACAUAAAAUUAACCAUCACAGUGAGUAGAAUAGAAAUGACACACACAGAGUGAUCUUCAUCUCACUUAAGUCUUGCCUCUACAAGAAAUUCUGCCUUGGCUUAGAGACCUCAGUGGUAUGGUAUAUAGUGUGUACCUAAUUUCUUCUUAGCCUUAAUAAGCCUAGAAAUCUGAUAUGCCUCUCAUUCUAGCAAGAAACAUUUUAGAUUCAUAGGUUAGGGUUAAGAGUUUAUUUCUCAAAAUGCCUUUCCCUUAAAUGUUUCAAAUAGUUUAGGUAUAGGGCCCAUAGCAGAAGGCUAGACAACCUGAACUUUUCAGGUACUUAUUCCUUUAUAGCUGGAAGCUUUACAUACUUAGGAAUCAAGGGAGACAUAAGAACUCUUAUUGCUCCAAUCAGCUGUCUCUGAUUGUCAAAGAGAUGAGAGAACUGUUAGGAUUUUAGAUCUUGAGUUCUUCAGUGUGAACUUGAGGCCUUUAUGUUUAUAUUAAAUGGCCUCCCUACCCUUUGAAUACUACACAGAGCUGAAUAGAUCAUUUUCUUAUUCUUAAUGUCUUCUUGUUCAUUCUAAUUUUUCUUAUCAUAUAUGUCAUAUAUAUGUAUAUGUAUAUUCCCUCCUGUCUGUUACAAUUUAAAGCAACAGGGAAGGAAAUGAUUUGAUUCUCAAAUAACUAGGAAAGAUUUCCUAGAAAUUAGUAGACUUGAAGUUGAGAGAUUAUAUAGGUUGGUGCCUUGCUGUCCUCCUAGUGAUUAUUUCUCCUUAGGUAAUUUCCAGAUAGGUUAGUCUAACCCAUUUUCAUGUGGGUUAUUUUAGCUGGACAGAACUGGGAAGCUGGGCGGGAAGGGCAGAGAAGUGGACAUUUAGCUGAUAACCCUAACAUCUUUAAGGUUUCAGAGCUAAUGAGUUGGGAGGAAGAAGAAGAAAUAAUCUUUAUAUUAAAAAUUAAUUUUUCCUCAGAGUUCCUGUUGCCAAUUCUCUGAAGAACUGAGAAAUCUGACAACUUCAGAAUGACAUAUUGUCCCUGUUGCUAUAGCUCCUUGAUUCUUUCCUUACAAUAAUGUUUUAAUUUCUAAGAAAAAUAAUUAUUUUGGCAGAAGAUAGAAAUUCUACUACUUAAAUAGCUUACUCAGCUCAGUAUAAAUUUUAUUUAUCAACAUUUGCUGCAUAACAAUUAAGCAAAUGCUUCUUAGAAGUUUUCUUUGAGCAGUACUCUGGUCCAAUAACUGGUUUUCAAGUUAGAAGGAAGAUUUUUGGAGAAGAUCCUUUUUUUUUUAACUUCAGCAAUUCUCACUUUGAUUAAAUAGUUAUUAAGGAAAAAUUCUUGUUUAUGUGUUUGUAUUGCACAUUCAUGUAUAUUUGUAUAUAUAUAGAUAAUGUAUAUACUCACAUCUAUACACAUUUCAUGCUGGAAGAAGAAGAGAUCCAGUGGGCACUGAAAAAUAGUACAGAAGAGGGCUGGAGCCUCAGUCUGAUUGUAUCAUUUAUAUACGUUCAGGUCCCGUGUUUCCAUGAAUUUUCUUUUACAGAACAUUGUUGACUUGGACAAGUACUUUGUUACAUGUGAUCUGUGGCAAAGAGAUUUACUUGAAGUAAAGACCUCAUGAUUUCCAAGGAUUGAGAAUAAAUGACGCUAAGGACAAUGUAUUCAUCAUCCGUUGCUCCUAUAUUAUAAUCAGUUGAACUCAA